RNAcentral lists this non-coding RNA (31 nucleotides) under Rattus norvegicus (Norway rat). Lineage: Eukaryota; Metazoa; Chordata; Mammalia; Rodentia; Muridae. The record is from RNAcentral.
UCUUAUUUAUAAUUAAAUAACAAGUCAUUGC